Molecule: long non-coding RNA, 610 nt
Organism: Odocoileus virginianus texanus
Lineage: Eukaryota; Metazoa; Chordata; Mammalia; Artiodactyla; Cervidae
Source: RefSeq, a predicted model, not a curated record
UCCUAGAAAGUCAGUGGGGUCUCGGUUCCUCUGCGUCAGUCUCCACUGGACUAACACUGGAAUGUUCGUGGGGGAUGAAGCCCCUAACAGUGAACAUCUGCAAACAUCUUCUGUGUAUCUGGUGAUACUCAAGACACUGAAGAUACACACUCAGUAGCAGUAGGGAAGCUCAGUGAUCCACGCAAAAGGAAAGCACAACAGAUGAAUCGCUGUAUUAAAGGGAGCCUUAUUAAAGUUUUCACCUUGUGGAGAGGACCUUAUCCCAAUUAACCAAGUGUGACCCAGACCUGUGCCAGUCAGAAUAUCCCACACUGAAGACCUGCUGUUUGCUCUGGUGAUGGGCACUGGACCCAAGCAAGUCAGUAAGCAUCCUGACUUCCACUUAAUUUGGAAAGAAGAGAAACAUCAUUUUCUACUGAAUGUAAGUCUGAUGUAGUAUAGUGUUGAAACUGCUGCAACCUUUCUGCCACUACCAUGAGUGAACCUGUCUGGGAAUGGAGCCAAAAUAAAGGAAGCAGAGAGAGAAGUAAGUCCUGUUGACCGAAUGCCAGGUCCUCAAACAAGAUGUUUCCUGCUGCCAGCAAUGACUAGCCCUGGGACUUUGCAGUCA